UUGAACCGGCCGAGUGUGGGUUU
RNAcentral lists this non-coding RNA (23 nucleotides) under Arabidopsis thaliana (thale cress). The record is from RNAcentral. Lineage: Eukaryota; Viridiplantae; Streptophyta; Magnoliopsida; Brassicales; Brassicaceae.